GAGUCUGGGAUAACUUUCCGAAAGGGGAGCUAAUACUGGAUAGUCCCGAGAGGUCAUAGGAUUUUUCGGGUAAAGAUUUAUUGCUCGGAGAUGAGCCCGCGCCCGAUUAGCUAGUUGGUGAGGUAAUGGCUCACCUUGGCGACGAUCGGUAGCCGGCCUGAGAGGGUGUUCGGCCACAAUGGAACUGAGACACGGUCCAUACUCCUACGGGAGGCAGCAGUUAAGAAUCUUGCUCAAUGGGGGGAACCCUGAAGCAGC
RNAcentral lists this ribosomal RNA (258 nucleotides) under Leptospira sp. R31. RNAcentral describes it as "partial 16S ribosomal RNA". It matches the Rfam family "Bacterial small subunit ribosomal RNA", at positions 134 to 392 of the family's 1533-position model. The record is from RNAcentral. Lineage: Bacteria; Pseudomonadati; Spirochaetota; Leptospiria; Leptospirales; Leptospiraceae.